GACGAACGCUGGCGGCGUGCUUAACACAUGCAAGUCGAACGGAAAGGCCCUGCUUUUGUGGGGUGCUCGAGUGGCGAACGGGUGAGUAACACGUGAGUAACCUGCCCUUGACUUUGGGAUAACUUCAGGAAACUGGGGCUAAUACCGGAUAGGAGCUCCUGCUGCAUGGUGGGGGUUGGAAAGUUUCGGCGGUUGGGGAUGGACUCGCGGCUUAUCAGCUUGUUGGUGGGGUAGUGGCUUACCAAGGCUUUGGCGGGUAGCCGGCCUGAGAGGGUGACCGGCCACAUUGGGACUGAGGUACGGCCCAGACUCCUACGGUGGGCAGCAGUGGGGAAUAUUGCACAAUGGGCGGAAGCCUGAUGCAGCAACGCCGCGUGCGGGAUGACGGCCUUCGGGUUGUAAACCGCUUUCGCCUGUUACGAAGCGUGAGUGACGGUAACGGGUAAAGAAGCACCGGCUAACUACGUG
This 468-nucleotide ribosomal RNA is filed under the name uncultured bacterium. RNAcentral's name for it is "partial 16S ribosomal RNA". It matches the Rfam family "Bacterial small subunit ribosomal RNA", at positions 28 to 507 of the family's 1533-position model. The record is from RNAcentral.